This 481-nucleotide ribosomal RNA is filed under the name uncultured bacterium. RNAcentral's name for it is "bacterial SSU rRNA". It matches the Rfam family "Bacterial small subunit ribosomal RNA", at positions 28 to 521 of the family's 1533-position model. The record is from RNAcentral.
GAUGAACGCUAGCGGCAGGCUUAAUACAUGCAAGUCGAGGGGUCAGCAAUGACACCGGCGGACGGGUGCGUAACGCGUAUGCAACCUACCUACAUCAGGGGGAUAGCCCUAGGAAACUGGGAUUAACACCGCAUAAUAUUAUUAAUGGCAUCAUUGAUAAUUGAAAUAUUUAUAGGAAGUAGAUGGGCAUGCGUAAGAUUAGCUAGUUGGUAAGGUAACGGCUUACCAAGGCUACGAUCUUUAGGGGCUCUGAGAGGAGUAUCCCCCACACUGGCACUGAGAUACGGGCCAGACUCCUACGGGAGGCAGCAGUAGGGAAUAUUGGGCAAUGGAGGCAACUCUGACCCAGCCAUGCCGCGUGCAGGAAGACGGCCCUCUGGGUUGUAAACUGCUUUUGAAUGGGAAGAAUGUGUGGCUUGCGAGCUAUAAUGACGGUACCAUUAGAAUAAGCCACGGCUAACUACGUGCCAGCAGCCGCGGU